RNAcentral lists this ribosomal RNA (253 nucleotides) under uncultured bacterium. RNAcentral's name for it is "partial 16S ribosomal RNA". It matches the Rfam family "Bacterial small subunit ribosomal RNA", at positions 524 to 776 of the family's 1533-position model. The record is from RNAcentral.
UACAGAGGUCCCAAGCGUUGUUCGGAUUUAUUGGGCGUAAAGGGUGCGUAGGCGGUCAAGCAAGUCGGAUGUGAAAUACCGGAGCCUAACUCCGGAAUGGCAUUCGAAACUGCUUGGCCCGAGGUCUGGAGAGGUGACUGGAAUUCUUGGUGUAGCAGUGAAAUGCGUAGAUAUCAAGAGGAACACCAGAGGCGAAGGCGAGUCACUGGACAGAACCUGACGCUGAGGCACGAAAGCCAGGGGAGCAAACGGG